RNAcentral lists this long non-coding RNA (1289 nucleotides) under Gadus morhua (Atlantic cod). RNAcentral describes it as "lncRNA (ENSGMOG00000031543.1)". Lineage: Eukaryota; Metazoa; Chordata; Actinopteri; Gadiformes; Gadidae. The record is from RNAcentral.
AUGCAUCCACCAAUUAGAAGCCAGGUGUCCUGUUCUGUUUCAGAGCCAGAGGAAGGGGGCGGGACUGAGGGAGGCGGCCGGGGAGCUGGACCUCCCACCUCAUCUGAGGGCACGCCCCCCGACCCCCGCCGAAAAAUACAUCCAUGUAAGCCCCUCCCCUCCUGUACCCCAGACAACUCAGGCUUUGAUUGGCUGGAGGUCUUCCCAGCCACAUCUCCAGCUAGAGGUCUAUGGCAAGGAGACCCAUGGGAGGCGGAGCUUCCUGAAGGAACUGGGCUGGACCCUAGAAUCUUGCACCUGAUUGGAUAACUGACCUCAUGGACAUGGACCCGGAGUGCUGUGGGAUCCAGUCAAAAUGCUGAAUGUAGAUUGUAGAUUAAAUAUUUCAGUUUGAUCCACCACUAAAUCAUUUCUUGGUUUAUUGUUGAAAUAUUUGUUGUAAAAAAGUCUCUUCCUUGUUUCUAUAUUGUAGUUUUUAAAGCAGUUAGUCUGCUUAUUUUGUGAAUCUUUAUGUAGCCUACUCAAAUUGUGGCAAUGUUUUGGGUAUCUCUUAACAAUUGACGCACUUGCUGUAAGAUGCUUUGGAUAAAAAUGUCUGCUAUAUAAAUUUAUGUUGGUCAAUAUGCAUAACAACUCUAGUUGACAAAUCGAUAGAUUUAACUUAAAAUCAAUCAUAAAUCAACCAAUGUAUUACUGAAUUAGCUAAUACUCAUUCAUUGAUUUCGCUAUUAAUUGGCCAGCUGUCAAUUUAUAUAGAGAAUAUAAAUCAGCUGAUCAAGCCAGAAGCUAAUAUACAAUCUGUCUGAGAACAUUUAACACAGGAACCCUACAGAGAAAUAGGCUGCUCCCUACUAAGAAACUACCUCCCUACUAGUUAAUACUUGAACUUCUUUUCUCAAGCGUAUCAACACACCUCAUGCUCAACCACAGAAACAUUUCUCCCUAACACUUCAAGUAGGCUGUAUUAAAGCAUGCAACUGGGGCACAAAAUAAUGAGUCAGAUGCCUGGAUCAGAGUGCCUCGGUGAAGUAGCCUACUUCUUAAUGUACUUCUUCGUCUUCAGUAAUUUUUGGGAAAUGAAGGGAUAACCCAAUUCGCCGUAAGGAUCUUUGCUGCCCCCUGCUGGUAAACCUUGCGUUGGCGUAAGGGCUGUCGUUAACGUGACUAUAGGGUUAGAAAAAAAGGUGUGUUUUUUUUUUUCCAGACUUUUUGUAUAUAUUAGUACAAUACAUACAAAAAAGUUUAUGUUCAGUAUAAUUUAACAAAAUAUAUCCAAAAUAAUAAAGUUA